CCCGCCCCCGCGGCCGCUGCGCGCCGGACGGGGCCCAAGCGGGGGUCGGAGCCUCAAGGCUGCGGCGGCGACGAGCUCCGAGCGGGACACUGAACGGCCCGUAUGCGCAAGAUAAGCACGGACUGAAUCAGGUACACGCACCUGCCGGGGACGCACUGACCGAGGUGCGGACGGCGGUACCAGGACAGGUAAAGCCGCGAACACUCGGACCUAAGAACUUGACAGGUACACCCUGCCUGAUGAAGCUACGUACGGCCAGGUGCGCAUCGAGUGAAUCAGAGACGAAGUUUCGCCAUGUUGCCCAGGCUGAUCUCAAGCUCUUGGGCUCAAGCAAUCCACCUGCCUUGGCCUCCCGAAGUGCUGGGAUUACAGCCUUCUUAGUGAAGCCACACUCAAUCUAUUGAAUACAUCUUCUGCUGACAUUCCACCUUGUCGCCGCCAUCUUGGCCUCUGAAAUAGAAUGGAGACCGGCUAUUAAACCAGUUUUUAGCAAAUUCGGAGCAGCAGGUUCUUGGCUGGGGGAAAAAAAUUCCACUUAUCAAGAGAUGUUUAUUCCUUCAAAGGGUGAGAACCUACUUCUUCAUAAAGAGAAUUUGGAGGGAGCUUUUUGUUCUGCGGGGACAACAUCUGGAUUUGAAUACAUCCAUGCUCAAAAGGAGAUUUCUCAUAAUGGACCCAACUGAAAGCACUCAGAGUACAAGGACCGGUGAGCUUUCAAAAGGAGACACUUCGGGAGACUCGCCAGGGGCCCUCGUAUCCCCGGCAGCGCGAGUUUUGGAGGUCAGUGGAGGGCUCUCGCAUCAUGCAUGUAACUUUCAUACUCAAAAACUUACCUUCAUCCUGCAUCCCUCACCCCCCUGCAGAAACUUGGGGCUUGAAUUCAUUUAAAAACAUUUGCGGUUUCAGAAGCCUUCUUUUUAUUAUGAAGCUGCCAAGGAGAUCUUAGAAUGAAAGGCAUUUUUAGAGAUGAGAAAGAAGGAAGCCAGGCCAAGGCUGGGCCGGCUCUCAGCCGUGGGUCUGUAAAGGUGACACGUGGGACAUGGCCACCUGCAGACCCUGCAGGCGGCUGGGCAGAGGCACCCACAGGGACCUGGGUUUGAAUCCCUGCUCUGCCAGUCAUUUCCACAGCGAUCUUGGGGGAAGUUGUGUAACCUCUGGGCCCUGCGACGCCCUUUCCUGGAGCCUGGAGCUGGAACGAAGCCCCUUGGAGCCCUGACAUCAGAGGUGACGUUAGUCUUCGCAGGCAAUGACUCGGCGGAAUGUGAUGCCACUCCCUAACCCGUGUCCGGACUGGCAGAGUGUGUGCCGCCUCCCACCAGGUGGUCUGGCUGCUUUGAUGGAUCUCCUAACUUCUCUGCACCCCAGAGCCCUCAGUGCUGGCCAGACCUUCACUCACUCCUGGGUGACAACCCCGUUCUCAGAUAGUGGGUCCCACAGGCUGGCCUGUGGCGCCCCCUGCUGGUGACUGCAGGGAGAAGGAUGCCCUAAGCCAAAGGAAGUCCUUCCUGGGGUCUAAUCUCUACCUUUUGCAUGAUGAGGCAGCUGAGGUGGCUCGCUUUCUCCUCCACCCCAGAAAAUAAAGUCAUAUGGAGUCCA
RNAcentral lists this long non-coding RNA (1596 nucleotides) under Homo sapiens (human). RNAcentral describes it as "HSALNT0291444". Lineage: Eukaryota; Metazoa; Chordata; Mammalia; Primates; Hominidae. The record is from RNAcentral.